RNAcentral lists this ribosomal RNA (952 nucleotides) under Salmonella enterica subsp. enterica serovar Bovismorbificans. RNAcentral's name for it is "partial 23S ribosomal RNA". It matches the Rfam family "Bacterial large subunit ribosomal RNA", at positions 487 to 1337 of the family's 2925-position model. The record is from RNAcentral. Lineage: Bacteria; Pseudomonadati; Pseudomonadota; Gammaproteobacteria; Enterobacterales; Enterobacteriaceae.
AUAGUGAACCAGUACCGUGAGGGAAAGGCGAAAAGAACCCCGGCGAGGGGAGUGAAAAAGAACCUGAAACCGUGUACGUACAAGCAGUGGGAGCCCCACCACUAAGCCAGUGGUGAACUCCACAUACGCAUCCUUUGCUGAGGAUACGGUUAACGGAGCGAAAGCGACGUUCAACCUCAAAAGAAGCAGAGGGGGCUUAGUGGUGGGGUGACUGCGUACCUUUUGUAUAAUGGGUCAGCGACUUAUAUUCUGUAGCAAGGUUAACCGAAUAGGGGAGCCGGAGGGAAACCGAGUCUUAAUUGGGCGUUAAGUUGCAGGGUAUAGACCCGAAACCCGGUGAUCUAGCCAUGGGCAGGUUGAAGGUUGGGUAACACUAACUGGAGGACCGAACCGACUAAUGUUGAAAAAUUAGCGGAUGACCUGUGGCUGGGGGUGAAAGGCCAAUCAAACCGGGAGAUAGCUGGUUCUCCCCGAAAGCUAUUUAGGUAGCGCCUCGUGAAUUCAUCUCCGGGGGUAGAGCACUGUUUCGGCUAGGGGGCCAUCCCGGCUUACCAACCCGAUGCAAACUGCGAAUACCGGAGAAUGUUAUCACGGGAGACACACGGCGGGUGCUAACGUCCGUCGUGAAGAGGGAAACAACCCAGACCGCCAGCUAAGGUCCCAAAGUCAUGGUUAAGUGGGAAACGAUGUGGGAAGGCCCAGACAGCCAGGAUGUUGGCUUAGAAGCAGCCAUCAUUUAAAGAAAGCGUAAUAGCUCACUGGUCGAGUCGGCCUGCGCGGAAGAUGUAACGGGGCUAAACCAUGCACCGAAGCUGCGGCAGCGACGUUUAUGCGUUGUUGGGUAGGGGAGCGUUCUGUAAGCCUGCGAAGGUGGCCUGUGAGGGUUGCUGGAGGUAUCAGAAGUGCGAAUGCUGACAUAAGUAACGAUAAAGCGGUUGAUAAGCCCGCUCGC